Molecule: ribosomal RNA, 460 nt
Filed under: uncultured bacterium
Lineage: Bacteria
Description: partial 16S ribosomal RNA
Rfam family: Bacterial small subunit ribosomal RNA
Source: RNAcentral
CCUACGGGUGGCAGCAGUGAGGAAUAUUGGUCAAUGGACGAGAGUCUGAACCAGCCAAGUAGCGUGAAGGAUGACUGCCCUAUGGGUUGUAAACUUCUUUUAUAUGGGAAUAAAAUGUUCCACGUGUGGGAUUUUGUAUGUACCAUAUGAAUAAGGAUCGGCUAACUCCGUGCCAGCAGCCACGGUAAUACGGAGGAUCCGAGCGUUAUCCGGAUUUAUUGGGUUUAAAGGGAGCGUAGGUGGAUUGUUAAGUCAGUUGUGAAAGUUUGCGGCUCAACCGUAAAAUUGCAGUUGAAACUGGCAGUCUUGAGUACAGUAGAGGUGGGCGGAAGUCGUGGUGUAGCGGUGAAAUGCUUAGAUAUCACGAAGAACUCCGAUUGCGAAGGCAGUUCACUGGACUGCAACUGACACUGAGGCUCGAAAGUGUGGGUAUCAAACAGGAUUAGAUACCCGAGUAGUC